GGCUCUGGGCGGCCGUGACCCUGCUGGAGUGCGGGGGGGACCUCCAGCCCCCCGGGGGGUCCCUGACUCUGCUCUGACGCGCCUCUGGAUUCGAUUUCGGAGAUUUUGGCAUGUUCUGGAUCCGCGAGAGACCCGGGAAGGCGCUGGAAUUCGUCGCACUGAUCACCAGCGGUGGCACCACCCAGUACGCGCCGUCGGUCAAGGGGGGCGGGCAGAGCUCGGUGACGCUGACCAUGAACAGCCUCAAGGACGAGGAUUCCGGCGCCUAUUUCUGCGCCAAAUGUGCUG
Non-coding RNA from Ficedula albicollis (Collared flycatcher), 288 nucleotides. Lineage: Eukaryota; Metazoa; Chordata; Aves; Passeriformes; Muscicapidae. The record is from the annotation of a RefSeq genome assembly.